GACGAACGCUGGCGGCGUGCUUAACACAUGCAAGUCGAACGGUGAAGGGACCGGUUUUUGCUGGUUCUGGAUGAGUGGCGAACGGGUGAGUAACACGUGAGUAACCUGCCCCCUUCUUCUGGAUAACCGCAUGAAAGUGUGGCUAAUACGGGAUAUUCUGCGCCUGCUGCAUGGUGGGUGUGGGAAAGAUAUUGUUUCGGUGGGGGAUGGGCUCGCGGCCUAUCAGCUUGUUGGUGGGGUGAUGGCCUACCACGGCGGUGACGGGUAGCCGGCCUGAGAGGGUGGACGGUCACACUGGGACUGAGACACGGCCCAGACUGCUACGGGAGGCAGCAGUGGGGAAUAUUGCACAAUGGGCGCAAGCCUGAUGCAGCGACGCCGCGUGAGGGAUGGAGGCCUUCGGGUUGUAAACCUCUUUCGCCAGUGAAGCAGGCCUGUCCCUUUUGUGGGUGGGUUGACGGUAGCUGGAUAAGAAGCGCCGGCUAACUACGUG
This 493-nucleotide ribosomal RNA is filed under the name uncultured bacterium. RNAcentral describes it as "partial 16S ribosomal RNA". It matches the Rfam family "Bacterial small subunit ribosomal RNA", at positions 28 to 507 of the family's 1533-position model. The record is from RNAcentral.